This 236-nucleotide long non-coding RNA is filed under the name Capsicum annuum. RNAcentral's name for it is "long non-coding RNA (CANN_LNC009969)". Lineage: Eukaryota; Viridiplantae; Streptophyta; Magnoliopsida; Solanales; Solanaceae. The record is from RNAcentral.
UUCAAUAUGUCUAUAGGUGUUAGUUUAGUUACUAUUGUUCCUUCUGUUUCUUUAUCAUUUCUUAAUACCUUUUUACUAUUUUCAGUUAAAUUUAAAAACCAUAAUUUUGUUGUUCCUAUUAGUGUUUUUUCUAUAUAUUCUGGUGUAUCUAUUGCAUUUAUACUGUAACGACCUAAAAAUUUGAUGAAAUAUGUGAAAUUUGUGAUUUUAUAUGAUUUGACUGUUUUACCCCUCCC